UUCCAAAUACAGGUGAAGUUUGACUCCUGCGCUUUACUAGUCAGUCUGUCUGUCUGAACAGGUCAAACUGAUAUAAAAAGUUGCUUGGAAUGAGAAGUGCAGGAAAUCGCCUCAGGAUGCCAUUAUUAGAGAGAGCCCCAGAUGACACAAUGCCAGAAAGAAGAUGAAGCAGCACUAAUUCUGUGGAUAUGUGCCACCUCCUCAAAAAUAUGAAAAAAACAAC
Molecule: long non-coding RNA, 223 nt
Organism: Rhineura floridana
Lineage: Eukaryota; Metazoa; Chordata; Lepidosauria; Squamata; Rhineuridae
Exons: 3
Source: RefSeq, a predicted model, not a curated record